Molecule: ribosomal RNA, 1083 nt
Filed under: Triticum aestivum (bread wheat)
Lineage: Eukaryota; Viridiplantae; Streptophyta; Magnoliopsida; Poales; Poaceae
Description: partial small subunit ribosomal RNA
Source: RNAcentral
AUGGACGAGAAGGCAGCCAAGAUGGAGAAGCUCUCGUCGGCGGCGGCUUUCGUGGAGGGCGGCGUGCAGGACGCCUGCGACGACGCCUGCAGCAUCUGCCUCGAGGCCUUCUGCGACAGCGACCCCUCCACGGUUACAAGCUGCAAGCAUGAUUUCCAUCUCCAGUGCAUCCUUGAGUGGUGCCAGAGAAGCUCCCAGUGUCCCAUGUGUUGGCAGGCAAUCAGCAUGAAGGACCCUCUGAGUCAAGAGCUCCUUGAGGCUGUUGAACAGGAGAAGAAUGUGCAAGCAGAUCGCUCACACACGACCGCCGUUUUUCGCCAUCCAAUGCUCGGACAUUUUGAGGUACCAGUUGAUACAGAUGAUGCUGAGCUUGAAGAACGUCUCAUGCAACACCUGGCCGCUGCUGCCGUGACACGUAGGUCGCACCGCCAUGGUAGAAGGGAAGGCCACCGCGGAAGAUCAGGACCACACGGCCGCACACAAAUUGUAGUAUUUUCGACAACUGAAACUACCUCUAGUGACCCCAUUUCUUCAGAUUCACCACAAGUAGGGGACAGUGAGUAUUCUCCUGCUAUAAUCUCUGCUCCUGUGGAUGCCAUGGAAGAAGCAUCUGCCAACAUACUAGUGCACAAUAAUACUUCAUCUAACUGCCCUGUUGGAUCAAAUGAUAGAAUUUCUGGUGAUGAAGCAUCUCCCAUCAACCAGGAUGGAGCUGGACCAUCCGAUCCACAAUCUUUCUCAAACACACUCAAGACUCGCCUGCAGUCGGUUUCGGUCAAGUACAAGGACUCGAUAACGAAGAACACCCGUGGGUGGAAGGAACGGUGGCUCUCUCGGAGUGACACGAUAUUGAGUCUUGGUUCUGAUGUGAGGAGGGAGGUUAACGCCGGAAUCGCUGCUGUGUCUCGCAUGAUGGAGCGACUAGAAACGAGGGACGGGACUGGCUCUGGGCCCUCAUCGGCUUCUUCGGACAAUGUUUCUUCUGCUACAGAUAAUCAGGGGGCCGCGUCGUCCAACUUUUGUGCUUCCGUAAAUGGCGCCUCGUCUUCGGCAACUUGUGCGUCGAGAUCUGGUUCACAAUGA